CCUACGGGGGGCUGCAGUGAGGAAUAUUGGUCAAUGGUCGGGAGACUGAACCAGCCAAGCCGCGUGAGGGAUGAAGGUACAGAGUAUCGUAAACCUCUUUUGCCAGGGAACAAAGGCGGGGACGCGUCCCCGGAUGAGUGUACCUGAAGAAAAAGCAUCGGCAAACUCCGUGCCAGCAGCCGCGGUAAUACGGAGGAUGCGAGCGUUAGCCGGAUUUAUGGGGUUAAAAGGGUGCGCAGGCGGUCUUGUAAGUCAGCGGUCAAAGCCCGGGGCUCAACCCCGGCCCGCCGUUGAAACUGGCAGUCUCGAGUUGGAGAGAAGUAUGCGGAAUGCGCGGUGUAGCGGUGAAAUGCAUAGAUAUCGCGCAGAACUCCGAUUGCGAAGGCAGCAUGCCGGCUCCACACUGACGCUGAGGCACGAAAGCGUGGGUAUCGAACAGGAUUAGAUACCCUUGUAGUC
RNAcentral lists this ribosomal RNA (459 nucleotides) under uncultured bacterium. RNAcentral describes it as "partial 16S ribosomal RNA". It matches the Rfam family "Bacterial small subunit ribosomal RNA", at positions 338 to 795 of the family's 1533-position model. The record is from RNAcentral.